RNAcentral lists this ribosomal RNA (710 nucleotides) under Photorhabdus luminescens. Its description in RNAcentral is "bacterial SSU rRNA". It matches the Rfam family "Bacterial small subunit ribosomal RNA", at positions 18 to 704 of the family's 1533-position model. The record is from RNAcentral. Lineage: Bacteria; Pseudomonadati; Pseudomonadota; Gammaproteobacteria; Enterobacterales; Morganellaceae.
CCUGGCUCAGAUUGAACGCUGGCGGCAGGCCUAACACAUGCAAGUCGAGCGGUAACAGGAAAGUGCUUGUUUUGCUGACGAGCGGCGGACGGGUGAGUAAUGUCUGGGGAUCUGCCCGAGGGCGGGGGAUAACCACUAAAUUGCAUGGAAACGGUGGCUAAUACCGCAUAAUGUCGCGAGACCAAAGUGGGGGACCUGAAAGGGCCUCACGCCAUGGAUGAACCCAGAUGGGAUUAGCUAGUAGGUAGGGUAACGGCCUACCUAGGCGAACUUGCACUCUAGCUGGUCUGAGAGGAUGACCAGCCACACUGGGACUGAGACACGGCCCAGACUCCUACGGGAGGCAGCAGUGGGGAAUAUUGCACAAUGGGCGCAAGCCUGAUGCAGCCAUGCCGCGUGUAUGAAGAAGGCCUUCGGGUUGUAAAGUACUUUCAGCGGGGAGGAAGGAAUUGGCUUGAAGAGAGUUAAUUUUUGACGUUACCCGCAGAAGAAGCACCGCUGCAAUCGAACGUGCCAGCAGCCGCGGUAAUACGGAGGGUGCAAGCGUUAAUCGGAAUGACUGGGCGUAAAGCGCACGCAGGCGGUGAAUUAAGUUAGAUGUGAAAUCCCCGGGCUCAACCUGGGAAUGGCAUCUAAGACUGGUUGACUGGAGUCUCGUAGAGGGGGGUAGAAUUCCAUGUGUAGCGGUGAAAUGCGUAGAGAUGUGGAGG